CGUAGGGGGCAAGCGUUGUCCGGAUUUAUUGGGCGUAAAGCGCUCGCAGGUGGUCCGUUGCGUCGUGCGUGAAAGACCCCGGCUCAACUGGGGGGUGUCGUGCGAUACGGGCGGACUGGAGGCCAGUAGGGGGAUGCGGAAUUCCGGGUGUAGUGGUGGAAUGCGUAGAGAUCCGGAGGAACACCAGCGGCGAAGGCGGCAUCCUGGACUGGUCCUGACACUCAGGAGCGAAAGCGUGGGGAGCGAUCCGGAUUAGAUACCCGGGUAGUCCACGCUGUAAACGAUGCGCACUAGGUGUCGGGGGUAUCGACCCCCUCGGUGCCGCAGCUAACGCGAUAAGUGCGCCGCCUGGGGACUACGGCCGCAAGGCUA
RNAcentral lists this ribosomal RNA (372 nucleotides) under uncultured organism. RNAcentral's name for it is "bacterial SSU rRNA". It matches the Rfam family "Bacterial small subunit ribosomal RNA", at positions 526 to 896 of the family's 1533-position model. The record is from RNAcentral.